Molecule: transfer RNA, 72 nt
Filed under: Ictidomys tridecemlineatus (thirteen-lined ground squirrel)
Lineage: Eukaryota; Metazoa; Chordata; Mammalia; Rodentia; Sciuridae
Description: Spermophilus tridecemlineatus (thirteen-lined ground squirrel) tRNA
Rfam family: tRNA
About the family: Transfer RNA (tRNA) molecules are approximately 80 nucleotides in length. Their secondary structure includes four short double-helical elements and three loops (D, anti-codon, and T loops).
Source: Rfam by way of RNAcentral
GGAAUUGUGGCUCAGUGGUAGAGCACUCGCCUAGCACAUGCGAGGCCCUGGGUUCAAACCUCAGCACUACUU